AUCAAGUGUCUUAAGAGCAUUCGGUGGAUGCCUUGGCGCUGAGAGGCGAUGAAGGACGUGGUACGCUGCGAUAAGCCU
RNAcentral lists this ribosomal RNA (78 nucleotides) under Methylobacterium sp. 90. RNAcentral describes it as "partial 23S ribosomal RNA". Lineage: Bacteria; Pseudomonadati; Pseudomonadota; Alphaproteobacteria; Hyphomicrobiales; Methylobacteriaceae. The record is from RNAcentral.